Molecule: ribosomal RNA, 238 nt
Filed under: uncultured bacterium
Lineage: Bacteria
Description: partial 16S ribosomal RNA
Rfam family: Bacterial small subunit ribosomal RNA
Source: RNAcentral
CGGCGGACGGGUGAGUAACGCGUGGGUAACCUGCCUCAUACAGGGGGAUAACAGUUGGAAACGGCUGCUAAUACCGCAUAAGCGCACAGUACCGCAUGGUACGGUGUGAAAAACUCCGGUGGUAUGAGAUGGACCCGCGUCUGAUUAGGUAGUUGGUGGGGUAACGGCCUACCAAGCCGACGAUCAGUAGCCGACCUGAGAGGGUGAACGGCCACAUUGGGACUGAGACACGGCCCAA